RNAcentral lists this long non-coding RNA (1456 nucleotides) under Cricetulus griseus (Chinese hamster). RNAcentral's name for it is "lncRNA (ENSCGRG00015007507.2)". Lineage: Eukaryota; Metazoa; Chordata; Mammalia; Rodentia; Cricetidae. The record is from RNAcentral.
CCAUCCUGAGUGGUGCUGUAUCCACCAAAGCCCAGAAGAGGGCAAACAAGAGCUGCUCCAGUGGACACUUUCAGACCCGGGCCCAGCAGGCACCACCAGGGUCAAUCCCCCUCACCCACUGCACUGAGGAAGCCCAGAACCGGCUCGUGGAGAUCUAAAAGCUGGUGAAAGAUGCAGGGCAAUAAGAAGCGACUCCAUGCCCAUGACUGGAUGGAAGGAAACAGUGAAGCUGCCAGGAGGACACGGAAGGUAAUCCCCACGCGAUGGGCUACAGGGAAGAUAAGCAAGGGAUUUAGAAGUCAAGUCAGGAUGCCCAAAAAGGCUUCUUGGAGGAGGUGGCAAUCCCCUUGUAGUCCCUGGCCUCUACUCUCCACAGAUCUGACCCUACAAUGUGGGGCUUGAUGGGCACACUGCCCUAGCCAAUCAGAUUGCCCAUUCUUUUGUCUACAAUGGGAGAAAAGGCUGCUCUUUCUAGACAAAGGACGUAUCUUUCUAGACAAGUCCAUCAGAUUUCAUCCCCGGACCCCACACCCUCCAUUAGGAAAGAAGAUGGCUGUCUCCUUCUCCAGACCGGAUGAGUCAGGAUGAGCACCCAAGCUUGUUUCAGACAGACACAGAACAGAACGAUGCCUUUUGACUCCUGGAGAAUUCUGAUGUUGUAAGGAGCCUGUAACCUGGCAGGCAAAAGGCCUGGCUGAAGAGAGAUUAAAAGAAAGGGAGCAUAGACCCACACUACACGGCCAUUGUAGAUAAGAGUGAGAAUGUGUGGAGUGUAGCAAAGUGUGAUUAGCAAGAUUUAGCAAACUAUUUAAGGGACCAGCAGAACUGGGAACUUUAAAGUGUACCACGACUCUAUGUCCUGGAGCUCUCUUCCUCUAACCUGAAACAACCAGUCCAUCAAGCUGAGACCCAUACAGCAAUACCGGGUCCUCAAGAAACUCAAACAGCCUGAAUUCAGAGGAACAGAAGUAGAGAGCCCAAACCUGCGGGCGGCUGCAGGAGAGGUGCCCCCUGCUGUGAGCCUAUUGUCUGUGGUUCUUAGGAUUGUUUGCUUAUGCUUGUGUGUGUUACUUUGACAUAAGUGUGAAGUAAAACUUAUAUACUCAAACCAACUCGCUGAGUCUGUCAUUCCUCCCAGGUCAAAACCUGGUAAGGGCUCCAGACAGUUGUAAUAAACUGGAAAGAAAGAGACAGAGAGGAUGGAAAAACAAAGAACCAGACUUGUCCCUCUCAAAUCCAAGAAUUCGGUUGUCCUGAAUUAGAGCUAAGUCCAUGCUGGACUGCUCGGCAGGAACACAGCUCCAGGCCUUAUCCAAAGGGAUGCUUGCUUUUCUUGGGUGCACUCAAAAGGCCAGGAGGCAAGAGCUGCUCCAUUGGCUCCCAAAGACAUCAAAGCCAGUGUAUCCACUGACUUUAUUAGUUAGAGCUCAUCAUAGGCUCAGGAGGAGACUGCAUC